This is a long non-coding RNA of Boleophthalmus pectinirostris (great blue-spotted mudskipper), 3047 nucleotides long. RefSeq lists it as uncharacterized. The record is from RefSeq and is a predicted model, not a curated record. Lineage: Eukaryota; Metazoa; Chordata; Actinopteri; Gobiiformes; Gobiidae. The transcript has 2 exons.
UCUGUGUUGUGUGUGUAUGUUGUGUGUGGUGUGUUGCAGUUGUCCUCACAGCCAGGUGGCGCUGCGUCCCGGGAGCAGUGAGGAGGACGUGGUGUGUGGAGGGGGGGCGCGUUCACACUUCAUCCUCAGUAUUCCGUUCGUGGGCGUCGCUCUCAUCCUCAUCCCCGUCCUGUACAAGCUCAAAGGAAGAGCCGACCCCAAACGUCAAAAUCAGAACCCUCAACCUUUAGCUGACUGCGUCUAACUGCGUCUAACUGCGUCUAACUGCUGUCUAACUCUGACUGAUCCUGGCGGCAAAGUCCCGGUGUGAUUCACUAACUUUGUACAGAUUCUUAAACCGUUACCGUUGCAACACAAGAACAAAGGAAACUGACCUCAGCCUGAAGAUUUUGUUACAGAAACAUUAUUAUUAUUGUAAUUAUUCUUGAAGUUUCUAUGGACACUUUGACCCUGCGUGAGCAGAUCCGGCGUCACGUCGGCCUCGGCGUCGCCCGGAGCUUUUCAAAUCCGCUUUACUUUAUUUGACUGAACAGUGUCAUUGCGUCUGUGGGAGUUUAACGGCAGCUAUAAUAAAACUAACACUUUGUACGUACAGUAGUUGUAGUCUUAGUAGGUAAAGGUGCACUGUGGAACUUUUCUGCUGCAGGGUCCAGCACCUGCGUCUCCACAGAGAUGUUCUUGCUUUGUCUGGAAUUUACUUCAUAACGUGGAUUCUUCCGUCGCCUCUUCACCGUCGAGUAUUUGGACACAGUGUUCCAAACAGGAAGUGAUCACGGCCGCGUUUUCGGCUCCAUUUGACUUCACAUUGAAAAACUCUCCGUCCUCCCUCCUUCUCUCUGUAACUGCUGCUACGAGCGUCGGCGUUUUGGGCUUUAAAUGUUCGUAAAGGGGCGUUACCUUCAACAGUCUGGCUCCUGAUUGGCUCUGCGGUUGCUAUGACCUGUCGUGUUGAACCGUAUCCCGUCGUAGUUCGCCGUGAUCGUGUGGCGGUCGGUACUCGUCGUUGUGGCCGCAGUAACCCCGGUUCAAAUCCGGGUCACAGCAUCGCGGAACAAUGUCAGCAGACGGGUUCACUUUUAGACGGCGCGGUGUCUGGGUGAGUUUCCUCCGGGAGCUUCAGUUUCCACAUCAACCCAAAACAUGCCUCAGAGGUAAAACUCCUCCAGCCAAAGCCCAGUUUAUGGUCGUGCAUCAAAUCGUCUGCGUCGAUCGACAUGCACCUUAAAAAUUUUGUAACUACACAUUGAAGAGCUGUGAUUACAUCGUCUCUACACACAUUAUUUCCGUUACUCCGCUUUCCCGCUUCAUUUUGUUUACACAAACUCUAUUUUUAAAUCGUGGCCUCCUCACGUUUUGGCGGUAAAUUACUUGGCGGCGCAUAAACCUCGACGCAGAUCCAUGAAUCAAAAACGACGGCGAAAAGGCGACGGCGGCAGAGCGCGACGAGUCCACGCAGAAAUAUAAUUCAGCUUUAAGACAGACCUGACCGAGCCUGGAAACAAGAUCACGAGAUUGGUCCCUACACAAGGAUAAUAAAAAGAACCACAAAAUAAAUAAAAAUACUCACAGCUGGAAUCUCAAAUCUGAAAGUGGCUCUAGGUUAGCGCUGUAACUGCUGGCCUCCAUGAGCUUCAUUUGGAGCCGAACGCUUACAGAACACUUCUUUAUACAGUCUGUGAUCUGGCACCAGGUGUUUGUCGUCAAUGCCGUAUUGUGGAACUUUCCAGACACAGCAGUUCAAUCUCCAUGGAGACAAAGUGUUUUUCACACAUGGAGUUCCUCAAGGCUCGGUACUCGGCCCCUAAUGUUUGUUCAUUCAUCUUGAAGUAGGAUUCUGAAAGACCCGGUGCACCUUCACCCUCACACUCACCUCACAUUCCACACGGAUAUUUCACAUCGAUGACUCUGUGCGUCGUUUAAAUAAUCUGUGUUUUUAUUUUUGUUGAGUUGUUGGAGCUGUUCUGUCUGUGUCCUGCGCUCGUUUAAACCAGGUUCUGUGAUCAAACCUGAGCCUGUGUCUCCAGACCCUCACCUGAUCCACAAUUAAAUAAAUUAAAUUCAUAUUUAUGCCGUUACAAUUAAAUGUGAGUCUAAUUGUUCUCAGUAAAAGCUCGACUUUACAUGAACAUGUUUCGCUCGGCUCUGGGGACACAGGACACAGGUCACUAGGCUGGUCCAUCAUGGGAGAAAAUAAAGUUUCAGAUCACCUCGAUUAGAACCUGCAUCAGGUUUUAUCUCCAAAAGAUGAUUUAAGAAGAAAUUUGGAAGAAAACGGAGAUGAUUUCGAUCAGACAUGUCAAACUCAAACUCACAGAGACCAAAAUUAAAAACUGGGACUAAGUUGUGGGACAAACUAAAUAUUUAUUUAAAAAAAUUCAACAACAUCUGCAGGUUUUCUCUUCUUUGGAGAUCUGUGAUGUUAAACCUUUUCUUAUUAAACUAAUUGUUACAUUAUUUUCAUUACAUUAACAUUACAGAUCUGGAACAAUAGAAAACAAUAAAUAUUUAGUUUGUCCCACGACUUAGUCCCAGUUUUUAAUUUUGUCCUCUGUGAGUUGAGUUGGACUCUCCUGGUUUAAUCCACAGAGACAUUUUCAAGUGUUUUGAACAAACUCUAAAUAUUAAUUAAUUUGCAUAAAAUUUGGACCCAAAUAUUUUGUCCACAUAUGGAACCAAAUGCAGAUUCUGAUCUAGAGAAUCUAAAAAAAAUGUUUGGACCAGCCUAACAGGUCACUCGUGUUCAUAGAAUUUAAAAUCAAAGACUUUAAUUUUAUUUGUUUUUUCAUGAUCAUGUUUUAUUUUCUUUGUUCUGUUGGAAUUCAAGUCCAUUAACAGUGACCGAGUUGAGCUGAAACUGACUUUUGUAAGAAACACCUGAGUAAAGUUUCACAUCUUGAAUCUUGAAUCUCUAACGUUUCUGUGCUGACUCUUUUUAUGUGCAUUAUAUUUAUUUUUAAUGUAGUUGUUUUCUUGUUUUGAUUCAUCGCUGAAGGAUUCUGAAUUAGACGUUUUGUGUCGCUUGUGUCAGCUGAACUUAGUCUGAAAUG